Molecule: non-coding RNA, 90 nt
Organism: Fonsecaea monophora
Lineage: Eukaryota; Fungi; Ascomycota; Eurotiomycetes; Chaetothyriales; Herpotrichiellaceae
Source: the annotation of a RefSeq genome assembly
UUACUGAUUGGUCCAGGAAGGAUCGAUCUCAUUGUUGUUGUCGUCGAGCCGAGCCACCCUCGGCCAGAGGUUUGACGCUUCUGCAGUGCA